CAACGCCUUGGUCUUGGACUUCCAGCCUCCAGAACUUGGACUCUACCUUCCUUCCCCUGAUUCUCAUGAGAAUCUGAUCUUCGCUAAAGUGGGCAAGGUCCUGGAUCAGAAGAUGCCUGACAAGAGGCCACUAUCAGCAGCAACAGCACAGUGGGGACAAACCUGAGACCUUGAUGGACCGUGGACACCAGCAGGAGAGACAGAGGAACUUGAAGUCUAAAUGGGCAGACAAGACCAACAUACACAAAGCAGAGAGUGGCACAAGAGCCAUGUCUGAUGCAACAGUGACUCAGGAGGAUCACUCUGACUCAGAAUGGCCAAGCAAAGGUUAGCGUGUUAAGUCUCUGAAGCUGAUUAACGGCUUAACUCAAGUUUUCGCACCUGCAGACCAGUGACCCCCCACCGCCGCCCCCCCGCAAGGCAUCUGUUUGACGUCUCUUUAAUUUUAUUAGUGGCUUAUGGACAAAAUCACUUGACUUAACCUUUUUCAAGUGUAAGUUAUUUGGAUUCACAAGAGCAUUUUUCUCCCUGUUAUAAAUCAAUGAACCCAGUUAAGAUUAACUGCCUACAUGUGAGCUUCAAAAGAUCUUCUAUGGCCAGGCAAAGUUGAAAGAAACACAUAAUUCCAUAACAUGCUAAACACAAGUUGAUCAAAGUUUUUGGAGCUGGUUACUUAAUGCUGUACUUCCUCAUUCUCAAACAAUCUGAUUUCAAGUAGUUUGUGUCUAAAACAUAUAUUACUAGACUGCAAACAUUCAUCCUUUGGAAGAAAAAUCAUUUCUGUAUCUUAACUGGUCAAAAUCUAUGUUUCAACAGACCUAAACUAAA
Molecule: long non-coding RNA, 828 nt
Filed under: Homo sapiens (human)
Lineage: Eukaryota; Metazoa; Chordata; Mammalia; Primates; Hominidae
Description: HSALNT0300898
Source: RNAcentral